This is a long non-coding RNA of Oncorhynchus keta (chum salmon), 2024 nucleotides long. RefSeq lists it as uncharacterized. NCBI's taxonomy places the organism in Eukaryota, Metazoa, Chordata, Actinopteri, Salmoniformes, Salmonidae. The record is from RefSeq and is a predicted model, not a curated record. The transcript is spliced from 3 exons.
UGAUGUGGAAGGUGUACGUGCCCAAAAAGCCAUCUCCCGGCAGUCAGCUGAGUCCCACAACACAUAACAACAUACUGUUGCCAAUAUGAAAGAGAAAGCAGCAGGUCGUUAAAAUUGCUGCGUUGGUCAAUUGCACCCAAGGUCCAACUGAAAUUUGGCUUCCACUUUUAACCCAACCCCUUCGAAAGACACGCAUACAUACAGGUAUUUUAUUUGUGCUGGCUUGCCUCUAACCGCUAGGCUAACUGCUGCCAAUGUUAGACCAUGGAGGUGGUGAAAUUGUUAGGUUAUUUCAUUGGUACAGCUAUCUAUAUCACCUGAGGUCAGAGUUAUGGGGAGAAUGCAAGACUUCCAGUGAGAGUUGUGCUGGUUAGAGGUUUUUUUCUCCAGCAAUUAAAAUAAAUUCAUGAGGCCCUAAUCUAAAUCCUAAUGGAUUUCGCAUGACUGGGAAUAAAGGUAUGCAUCUAUUGGUCAAAGAUAGUUUAAAAAAAAAAAAAAAAUAGGUCUCACAUUGUGCCUCAGGAUCUCAUCUGUGGCUCAGUUGGUAGAGCAUGGCGCUUGUAACGCCAGGGUAGUGGGUUCGAUUCCCGGGACCACCCAUACGUAGAAUGUAUGCACACAUGACUGUAAGUCGCUUUGGAUAAAAGCGUCUGCCAAAUGGCAUAUAUAUAUAUAUCCCAGUAUCUCUGCAUUCAAAUUGCCAUCUAUAAAAUGCAAUUGUGUUUGUUGUCCAUAGCUUAUGCCUGCCAAUAACCAUAACCCCACCACCACCAUGGGGCAGUCUGUUCACAAUGUUGACAUUUUCACAACGCCUUACAUGUGCUCUGCGGUUGUGUGGCUGGUUGGACUUACUGCCAAUUUCUCUUAAAAGAACGUUGGAGGCGGCCUAUGGUAGAAAUUAACAUUCAAUUCUCUGGCAACAGUUCUCGUAGACAUUCCUGCCGACAGCAUGCCAAUUGCACGCUCCCUCAACUUGAGAUCUGUGGCAGUGUGUUGUGACAAAAUGAAGCGUUUUGGUGGCCUUUUAUUUUCCCCAGCACGAGGUGCACCUGUGUAAUGAUCAUGCUGUUAAUCAGCUUCUUGAUAUCUUGGCAAAGGAGAAAUGCUCGCUAACAGGCAUAUAAACAUAUGUGUGCCCAAAAUUUGAAAGUAAAAAGCUUUUUGUGCAUAUGGAAAAUUAUUUUAUUUCAGCUCAUGAAACUUGGGGCCAACACUUUACAUGCUUCGUUCAUAUUUUUUUCCCGGUGUAGAUAUAAAAUUGUGCGACUAAGACCUAUGAUUUUGGCAAUGAUGCCCUUUAUCUACUUCCCAAGAGUCAAAUUAAUUUGCGGAUACCAUUUUUAUAUCCCUGCGAGCAGUUUGAAGGAAGUUGCUAACUAGCGCUACCGCAAUGACUGGAAGACUAUGGGUAUCUUCUAGCAUGCUAGCAGAUACCUAAUAGGCAUGCAAUCGGGGCAUAGAGACAUACAAAUGGUAUCCACAAAUUAAUCUGACUCUGGGGAAGUAAGUAUAGGGCCAAAAUCCAGAAGUAUCCCUUUUAAGGGAUUAUGCAAGGCACACACGUUCUCUUCUCCUAGCAGCAUACCGACGCUAGAAUACAGACUCCUUAAGCAGGUCGGUUCAGAAGGUCAGUUGUGUAAUGGUCUUAACAUUCUCGUUUACUUUGUUGUCAAGGGACCAACAUACUUUUGACAGAUGUUAGCAGCAUGUCUUUCUUUCGUUGACAUUCAUGUGCUUUUUCUCAAAUUAUAUAUUGUUCCUGUAGUUUAAUAAUAUAAUCAAGCCUAUGAUUUUUUGACUUUGGUUGAGACUUUUGUAAGUUAUUUAAGUGAGUAGGUUUUAAUACGUUUUGCAUGUCCUUACAUGUUACUAUGUCCUAAUUGUAAUUUUUUUCAGUUAAUUUUCUCUGAAUGUGAAGCACUGUUUACUGACGCUCAUGCUAUUAUGUCUCCUCAGCAACUAACCUGUGACGUGUCCUGUGAUUGAUUGAUUAUUAUUUAUUAUUAUUAUUAUUAUUAUUAUUA